Pseudonaja textilis is the source of this 592-nucleotide non-coding RNA. Lineage: Eukaryota; Metazoa; Chordata; Lepidosauria; Squamata; Elapidae. The record is from RefSeq and is a predicted model, not a curated record.
GAGAAUGUGCUUUGCUGAGGGAUACAGGAAGACCAAUUUGGCUAAGUAAAGGUACUUAAAAGGGCAAUAUAUAAAACAGGAUCACAUGGGAUUUUUAAAAAUUCUUUCUGUGUCUCUUUCUCUUGUCUUCUAUGUAAUCAUGUGGUUUGUUCCUUAAGUUUUAUGCCUUCCCCAAUUUAACUGAGAUUUAUUGUGGGAAUGAUCAGUGUGUGUGUGUAAACCUCAGAGUUUUGUUUUCCUCUCUGUGUCCUUAUGUGUGUGUGUGUGUGUGUGUGUCUGUUAGCAACACAAGAUGUUGCCCUCUUAGGAAUUGUUACAGAGAUGAGUUAGAAAUUAUAAUAGGUAGAAAGAGGGUGUCAUCACUUGAGACUUUCAAGAAGAGAUUGGACUGCCAUUUGUCAGAAAUGGUGUAGGGUCUCCCGCUUGGGUGGAGGGGUUGGACCAGAUGACCUACAAUGUCCUUUCCAACUCUCAUUAUCUGUUAUCUGUUGAAGUUGUUGUUAAAUGAGCUAUCUGUCAAGGAUAAAAGAACAUUAUUGUGUUGGUGUAGCUGUGUGAAAGUAAUAGAAGUAAGAGACGGACUUUUUGUCUA